This 292-nucleotide ribosomal RNA is filed under the name uncultured bacterium. RNAcentral describes it as "partial 16S ribosomal RNA". It matches the Rfam family "Bacterial small subunit ribosomal RNA", at positions 505 to 796 of the family's 1533-position model. The record is from RNAcentral.
GUGCCAGCCGCCGCGGUAAUACGUAGGCAGCAAGCGUUGUUCGGAGUUACUGGGCGUAAAGAGUGCGUAGGCGGUCCGCUAAGUUCGGUGUGAAAUCUCCCGGCUCAACUGGGAGGGUGCGCCGAAGACUGGCGGGCUUGAGUGCGGGAGAGGAAAGCGGAAUUCCUGGUGUAGCGGUGAAAUGCGUAGAUAUCAGGAGGAACACCUGCGGUGUAGACGGCUUUCUGGACCGUAACUGACGCUGAGGCACGAAAGCGUGGGUAGCAAACAGGAUUAGAAACCCCCGUAGUCC